This 357-nucleotide unclassified non-coding RNA is filed under the name soil metagenome. Its description in RNAcentral is "partial contains 5.8S ribosomal RNA, internal transcribed spacer 2, and large subunit ribosomal RNA". The stretch from base 1 to 120 matches the Rfam family "5.8S ribosomal RNA", at positions 35 to 154 of the family's 154-position model. The record is from RNAcentral.
GAUGAAGAACGUAGCGAAAUGCGAUAAGUAAUGUGAAUUGCAGAAUUCAGUGAAUCAUCGAAUCUUUGAACGCACAUUGCGCCCGUCAGUAUUCUGGCGGGCAUGCCUGUUCGAGCGUCAUUACGCCCCUCAAGUCCCCUGUGGACUUGGUGUUGGGGAUCGGCGAGGCUGGUUUUCCAGCACAGCCGUCCCUUAAAUUAAUUGGCGGUCUCGCCGUGGCCCUCCUCUGCGCAGUAGUAAAACACUCGCAACAGGAGCCCGGCGCGGUCCACUGCCGUAAAACCCCCAACUUUUUAUAGUUGACCUCGAAUCAGGUAGGACUACCCGCUGAACUUAAGCAUAUCAAUAAGCGGAGGA